Molecule: ribosomal RNA, 473 nt
Filed under: uncultured bacterium
Lineage: Bacteria
Description: partial 16S ribosomal RNA
Rfam family: Bacterial small subunit ribosomal RNA
Source: RNAcentral
GACGAACGCUGGCGGCGUGCUUAGCACAUGCAAGUCGAACGGUAAGGCCCUUCGGGGUACACGAGUGGCGAACGGGUGAGUAACACGUGGGUGAUCUGCCCUGCACUUCGGGAUAAGCCUGGGAAACUGGGUCUAAUACCGGAUAGGACCACUGCCUGCAUGGGUGGUGGUGGAAAGCUUUUGCGGUGUGGGAUGGGCCCGCGGCCUAUCAGCUUGUCGGUGGGGUGACGGCCUACCAAGGCGACGACGGGUAGCCGGCCUGAGAGGGUGACCGGGCACACUGGGACUGAGAUACGGCCCAGACUCCUACGGGAGGCAGCAGUGGGGAAUAUUGCACAAUGGGCGCAAGCUUGAUGCAGCGACGCCGCGUGAGGGAUGACGGCCUUCGGGUUGUAAAGCUCUGUCUUCGGGGACGAUAAUGACGGUACCCGAGGAGGAAGCCACGGCUAACUACGUGCCAGCCGCCGCAGUAA